Molecule: ribosomal RNA, 460 nt
Filed under: uncultured bacterium
Lineage: Bacteria
Description: partial 16S ribosomal RNA
Rfam family: Bacterial small subunit ribosomal RNA
Source: RNAcentral
CCUACGGGUGGCAGCAGUGAGGAAUAUUGGUCAAUGGGCGUAAGCCUGAACCAGCCAAGUCGCGUGAAGGAUGAAGGUUCUAUGGAUCGUAAACCUCUUUUAUAAGGGAAUAAAGUGUAGGACAUGUCCUGUUUUGUAUGUACCUUAUGAAUAAGGAUCGGCUAACUCCGUGCCAGUAGCCGCGGUAAUACGGAGGAUCCGAGCGUUAUCCGGAUUUAUUGGGUUUAAAGGGUGCGUAGGCGGCCUUUUAAGUCAGUGGUGAAAGUCUGUGGCGCAACCAUAGAAUUGCCGUUGAUACUGGGAGCCUUGAGUAUGGUAGAGGCAGGCGGAAUGCGUGGUGUAGCGGUGAAAUGCUUAGAUAUCACGAAGAACCCCGAUUGCGAAGGCAGCCUGCCAAGCCAUGACUGACGCUGAUGCACGAAAGCGUGGGGAUCAAACAGGAUUAGAUACCCUAGUAGUC